AAAAAAGAGAAAUUUUAAAUAGACUUUAUUCUAAAUAAUGUCACUCAAAUAUUCUUGUGUCAGGUUCAAUGCAUCCACUAAAACAUGAUAAGUUUUCUUAACAAGUAUGUAUGGCCAUAGUUAUGCUUCCACUUCCACAUAUUUGUUGUAUUUUUUUCAUGCAAAACAUCUGUUUCAAACAAAACACUACAUUUCAUCACAAGAUUUUCCUCCCAAACAAAUAAUUUCUUUCUCCAUCUAAUCAACACCCAAACCAAUAUUACCAUCUUAUCUACUAAGAUCACUUUAUUCUCUAAUAGAACAAACAAUCUAUGUUCACAUAAAACACUUUUCUUCAACCAAUUAUCCUACCAAAAUAUAAAAAUUUAAAUAAAAAAAUUAAUCAGACCUAUAUAUAACAAGUUCCAAUUAAAUCUCUUAUUGGCCAGUUUGACCUAUUUGCACCUACUUCUUGAGAAGAUAAAAAAAAGUUGUCUUUAGCUUAUAACCUCCCUUGUUCCUUUCUUUCUUGUUUUUCCUUUCCCCGGAUGAUU
Molecule: long non-coding RNA, 533 nt
Filed under: Cicer arietinum (chickpea)
Lineage: Eukaryota; Viridiplantae; Streptophyta; Magnoliopsida; Fabales; Fabaceae
Description: long non-coding RNA (CARI_LNC002740)
Source: RNAcentral